ACGAACGCUGGCGGCGUGCUUAACACAUGCACGUCGAACGCUGAACCCGCUUCGGUGGGGGAUGAGUGGCGAACGGGUGAGUAACACGUGGGCAACCUGCCCCCGGCUCUGGGAUAACUCCAAGAAAUUGGGGCUAAUACCGGAUGUGACCGCUGGCCGCAUGGUCUGGUGGUGGAAAGGGUUUCCGGCUGGGGAUGGGCCCGCGGCCUAUCAGCUUGUUGGUGGGGUAGUGGCCUACCAAGGCGACGACGGGUAGCCGGCCUGAGAGGGUGACCGGCCACACUGGGACUGAGACACGGCCCAGACUCCUACGGGAGGCAGCAGUGGGGAAUAUUGCGCAAUGGGCGGAAGCCUGACGCAGCGACGCCGCGUGGGGGAUGACGGCCUUCGGGUUGUAAACCUCUUUCAGCAGGGACGAAGCGCAAGUGACGGUACCUGCAGAAGAAGCACCGGCCAACUACGUG
This 464-nucleotide ribosomal RNA is filed under the name uncultured bacterium. Its description in RNAcentral is "partial 16S ribosomal RNA". It matches the Rfam family "Bacterial small subunit ribosomal RNA", at positions 29 to 507 of the family's 1533-position model. The record is from RNAcentral.